Molecule: ribosomal RNA, 493 nt
Filed under: uncultured bacterium
Lineage: Bacteria
Description: partial 16S ribosomal RNA
Rfam family: Bacterial small subunit ribosomal RNA
Source: RNAcentral
GACGAACGCUGGCGGCGUGCCUAAUACAUGCAAGUAGAACGCUGAAGGAGGAGCUUGCUUCUCUGGAUGAGUUGCGAACGGGUGAGUAACGCGUAGGUAACCUGCCUGGUAGCGGGGGAUAACUAUUGGAAACGAUAGCUAAUACCGCAUAAGAGUAGAUGUUGCAUGACAUUUACUUAAAAGGUGCAAUUGCAUCACUACCAGAUGGACCUGCGUUGUAUUAGCUAGUUGGUGAGGUAACGGCUCACCAAGGCAACGAUACAUAGCCGACCUGAGAGGGGGAUCGGCCACACGGGGACUGAGGCACGGCCCAGACUCCUACGGGAGGCAGCAGUAGGGAAUCUUCGGCAAUGGACGGAAGUCUGACCGAGAAACGCCGCGUGAGUGAAGAAGGUUUUCGGAUCGUAAAGCUCUGUUGUAAGAGAAGAACGAGUGUGAGAGUGGAAAGUUCACACUGUGACGGUAUCUUACCAGAAAGGGACGGCUAACUACG